RNAcentral lists this ribosomal RNA (468 nucleotides) under uncultured bacterium. Its description in RNAcentral is "partial 16S ribosomal RNA". It matches the Rfam family "Bacterial small subunit ribosomal RNA", at positions 28 to 507 of the family's 1533-position model. The record is from RNAcentral.
GACGAACGCUGGCGGCGUGCUUAACACAUGCAAGUCGAACGGAAAGGCCCUGCUUUUGUGGGGUGCUCGAGUGGCGAAGGGGUGAGUAACACGUGAGUAACCUGCCCUUGACUUUGGGAUAACUUCAGGAAACUGGGGCUAAUAUCGGAUAGGAGCUCCUGCUGCAUGGUGGGGGUUGGAAAGUUUCGGCGGUUGGGGAUGGACUCGCGGCUUAUCGGCUUGUUGGGGGGGUAGUGGCUUACCAAGGCUUUGACGGGUAGCCGGCCUGGGAGGGUGCCCGGCCACAUUGGGCCUGCGAUACGGCCCAGACUCCUACGGGAGGCAGCAGUGGGGAAUAUUGCACAAUGGGCGGAAGCCUGAUGCAGCAACGCCGCGUGCGGGAUGACGGCCUUCGGGUUGUAAACCGCUUUCGGCUGUGACGAAGCGUGAGUGACGGUAAUGGGUAAAGAAGCACCGGCUAACUACGUG